RNAcentral lists this ribosomal RNA (293 nucleotides) under uncultured bacterium. RNAcentral's name for it is "partial 16S ribosomal RNA". It matches the Rfam family "Archaeal small subunit ribosomal RNA", at positions 455 to 747 of the family's 1478-position model. The record is from RNAcentral.
GUGCCAGCCGCCGCGGUAAUACCGGCAGCACGAGUGAUGGCCGCUAUUAUUGGGCCUAAAGCGUCCGUAGCCGGCCGGGCAAGUCCGUCGGGAAAUCCACCCGCUUAACGGGUGGGCGUCCGGCGGAAACUGCUCGGCUUGGGACCGGAGGACCCGAGGGGUACGUCCGGGGUAGGAGUGAAAUCCCGUAAUCCCGGACGGACCGCCGGUGGCGAAAGCGCCUCGGGAGGACGGAUCCGACGGUGAGGGACGAAAGCUAGGGUCUCGAACCGGAUUAGAUACCCGAGUAGUCC